Molecule: ribosomal RNA, 1846 nt
Filed under: Escherichia coli
Lineage: Bacteria; Pseudomonadati; Pseudomonadota; Gammaproteobacteria; Enterobacterales; Enterobacteriaceae
Description: partial 23S ribosomal RNA
Rfam family: Bacterial large subunit ribosomal RNA
Source: RNAcentral
GUUAAGCGACUAAGCGUACACGGUGGAUGCCCUGGCAGUCAGAGGCGAUGAAGGACGUGCUAAUCUGCGAUAAGCGUCGGUGAGGUGAUAUGAACCGUUAUAACCGGCGAUUUCCGAAUGGGGAAACCCAGUGUGUUUCGACACACUAUCAUUAACUGAAUCCAUAGGUUAAUGAGGCGAACCGGGGGAACUGAAACAUCUAAGUACCCCGAGGAAAAGAAAUCAACCGAGAUUCCCCCAGUAGCGGCGAGCGAACGGGGAGGAGCCCAGAGCCUGAAUCAGUGUGUGUGUUAGUGGAAGCGUCUGGAAAGGCGCGCGAUACAGGGUGACAGCCCCGUACACAAAAAUGCACAUAUUGUGAGCUCGAUGAGUAGGGCGGGACACGUGGUAUCCUGUCUGAAUAUGGGGGGACCAUCCUCCAAGGCUAAAUACUCCUGACUGACCGAUAGUGAACCAGUACCGUGAGGGAAAGGCGAAAAGAACCCCGGCGAGGGGAGUGAAAAAGAACCUGAAACCGUGUACGUACAAGCAGUGGGAGCCUCUUAAUGGGGUGACUGCGUACCUUUUGUAUAAUGGGUCAGCGACUUAUAUUCUGUAGCAAGGUUAACCGAAUAGGGGAGCCGAAGGGAAACCGAGUCUUAACUGGGCGUUAAGUUGCAGGGUAUAGACCCGAAACCCGGUGAUCUAGCCAUGGGCAGGUUGAAGGUUGGGUAACACUAACUGGAGGACCGAACCGACUAAUGUUGAAAAAUUAGCGGAUGACUUGUGGCUGGGGGUGAAAGGCCAAUCAAACCGGGAGAUAGCUGGUUCUCCCCGAAAGCUAUUUAGGUAGCGCCUCGUGAAUUCAUCUCCGGGGGUAGAGCACUGUUUCGGCAAGGGGGUCAUCCCGACUUACCAACCCGAUGCAAACUGCGAAUACCGGAGAAUGUUAUCACGGGAGACACACGGCGGGUGCUAACGUCCGUCGUGAAGAGGGAAACAACCCAGACCGCCAGCUAAGGUCCCAAAGUCAUGGUUAAGUGGGAAACGAUGUGGGAAGGCCCAGACAGCCAGGAUGUUGGCUUAGAAGCAGCCAUCAUUUAAAGAAAGCGUAAUAGCUCACUGGUCGAGUCGGCCUGCGCGGAAGAUGUAACGGGGCUAAACCAUGCACCGAAGCUGCGGCAGCGACACUAUGUGUUGUUGGGUAGGGGAGCGUUCUGUAAGCCUGUGAAGGUGGCCUGUGAGGGUUGCUGGAGGUAUCAGAAGUGCGAAUGCUGACAUAAGUAACGAUAAAGCGGGUGAAAAGCCCGCUCGCCGGAAGACCAAGGGUUCCUGUCCAACGUUAAUCGGGGCAGGGUGAGUCGACCCCUAAGGCGAGGCCGAAAGGCGUAGUCGAUGGGAAACAGGUUAAUAUUCCUGUACUUGGUGUUACUGCGAAGGGGGGACGGAGAAGGCUAUGUUGGCCGGGCGACGGUUGUCCCGGUUUAAGCGUGUAGGCUGGUUUUCCAGGCAAAUCCGGAAAACCAAGGCUGAGGCGUGAUGACGAGGCACUACGGUGCUGAAGCGACAAAUGCCCUGCUUCCAGGAAAAGCCUCUAAGCAUCAGGUAACAUCAAAUCGUACCCCAAACCGACACAGGUGGUCAGGUAGAGAAUACCAAGGCGCUUGAGAGAACUCGGGUGAAGGAACUAGGCAAAAUGGUGCCGUAACUUCGGGAGAAGGCACGCUGAUAUGUAGGUGAAGCGACUUGCUCGUGGAGCUGAAAUCAGUCGAAGAUACCAGCUGGCUGCAACUGUUUAUUAAAAACACAGCACUGUGCAAACACGAAAGUGGACGUAUACGGUGUGACGCCUGCCCGGUGCCGGAAG